RNAcentral lists this long non-coding RNA (841 nucleotides) under Hordeum vulgare. Its description in RNAcentral is "long non-coding RNA (HVUL_LNC019688)". The record is from RNAcentral. Lineage: Eukaryota; Viridiplantae; Streptophyta; Magnoliopsida; Poales; Poaceae.
UAGGCUUUGUAAUAUAUUUCCUUGUAGGUAAGAAGAUUUUUUUAGCAUUAUGUUGAUUGAUUUUCUAAUAGCAUAGUUAUAUUCGAGAACUUAUUGUAUGUCUGUACAACACACGUGAUAAUGGGAAGUGUCUUCUUUUUUGCGAAGAGAUGGCAAGUUUCCUUCCAUGUGUUUUGUUUUGCACUUCUCAAUCAUAGGCUUCGUUUGAUAAACUUUGUUUGAUCACAUCCAUUCUUUUUAGCUCUUUUAUUGUUACAUCUAUGCCAUUUGUUUUGUAUCGUUUUAUAAUUAUAUAAUAGAUUUUCAUGUUUACAUUUGUUGCAGUUCCCUUGUUUCUACUAUCUAUUCAUACCUACAAAUAUCAAAUUGUUUUGUAAAUAUGCUAGGUAUGAUUGUGUACUCGGCUACUUGGUGCUGCCAUCACAAUUUGGAUGACGUGAUAGUUUCCAUCAAGGUUUCCAUCACAAUUUGGAUGACGUGAUAGUUUCCCUCAAGGUUUCCAUCACAAUUUGGAUGACGUGAUAGUUUCCAUCAAGGUUUCCAUCGGGAGGGCCGACGACAAGAACUUCAAUAGUUUAAGUGUUUUGUUUGUUCGAACUGGAUUGCACUGUUUUCUAAAUUGUUGAGUGAUAUAUUUUUAUCAAUCUAGGUUGUAAAAUAUCAUUUCAUGGAUGAUUUUGUGAACUACUAUGUUGUAGAUACUUGCGGAUGACUACAUAUUGAUUCAUACGUGUACACAUGACACUUUGUAAAUACCUUUCCUUUGUCUAAAUUGUCACUACAAUUUGAGUAAUGCAUUAUGCUUAAAAAUGUACUUGGUGAAAAUUGGGUUGAAUGAAAU